CUAUUAUGAUGUCAUGUAGGGAACUUUAGAAGAAUGUUUUGGGUUGUCGAAUGAUGUCAUCCAAUCCAAUAAAAUAAGGAAAAUCUGAGAGUUAAUUAGUGAUGUCACGGUUAAUUUGGAGCAUUGUCAUUCAUAAUUCAAUGAAGUAGUAACUGGAAAUCAAGUUAUUUGCAUGCAUGUCAUGUGUGGAGAAAAAGCCUCUAGCUAUUCCAUCCAUCAUCUUAUUUCUCAAAUUUAUUUUACAAUCUGUCUAAUUUUUCAUACUUGUUUGUUUGUUUCAACUUCAUCCAAAUCAAAACCCCCCUUUUAGUUUCUUGUUUCAAAGUGUUUCAAAUAUGUUUUAGUUUGUGUUUUUAAGUGUUUUGAUUCAAGUAAAAGUCAAUUUUCGUCCAAAGUCAUUCCUAGUGUCUAGUUUAAGUUUAUUUGGUUGUUUUAAGCUGUUUUGAGUAUUUUAAGUUUGCUUUGAGUCUUGAGAGUCUUAUUAAGUGUUUUUAAGUUUAGUUUUAUGUUUUUGAGUCAGUUUAGAGGUUAUUAGCAAGCCCUCCUAAUCCUCGGUCCGGAACGAUCCCUACUUAUACUUGUACUACAAUUGUCAAAAGAGGGUUAAAUUUGUGUGCUUAUAUAUUUCGCAUCAAGUUUUUGGCGCUGUUGCCGGGGAUUAGCAACUUUGCUAAUCCCUUAUUAUUUCUUUUUAUUUUUUUUCAUGUGUUUUUUUUUUCCUAGUUGCUGAUUUUACUUGUUUUCUUGUUUUAGGUUGUGUAUGACUCGAAGUUCUCAACCUGUUCAUAAGCACAUCUUUG
Molecule: long non-coding RNA, 800 nt
Filed under: Malus domestica (apple)
Lineage: Eukaryota; Viridiplantae; Streptophyta; Magnoliopsida; Rosales; Rosaceae
Description: long non-coding RNA (MDOM_LNC013520)
Source: RNAcentral